Molecule: ribosomal RNA, 497 nt
Filed under: uncultured bacterium
Lineage: Bacteria
Description: partial 16S ribosomal RNA
Rfam family: Bacterial small subunit ribosomal RNA
Source: RNAcentral
GAUGAACGCUGGCGGCGUGCCUAAUACAUGCAAGUCGAGCGAACAGACGAGGAGCUUGCUCCUCUGACGUUAGCGGCGGACGGGUGAGUAACACGUGGAUAACCUACCUAUAAGACUGGGAUAACUUCGGGAAACCGUAGCUAAUACCGGAUAAUAUAUUGAACCGCAUGGUUCAAUAGUGAAAGACGGUUUUGCUGUCACUUAUAGAUGGAUCCGCGCCGCAUUAGCUAGUUGGUAAGGUAACGGCUUACCAAGGCGACGAUGCGUAGCCGACCUGAGAGGGUGAUCGGCCACACUGGAACUGAGACACGGUCCAGACUCCUACGGGAGGCAGCAGUAGGGAAUCUUCCGCAAUGGGCGAAAGCCUGACGGAGCAACGCCGCGUGAGUGAUGAAGGUCUUCGGAUCGUAAAACUCUGUUAUUAGGGAAGAACAAAUGUGUAAGUAACUAUGCACGUCUUGACGGUACCUAAUCAGAAAGCCACGGCUAACUAAGUG